This is a long non-coding RNA of Gossypium arboreum, 371 nucleotides long. RefSeq lists it as uncharacterized. The record is from RefSeq and is a predicted model, not a curated record. The transcript has 2 exons. NCBI's taxonomy places the organism in Eukaryota, Viridiplantae, Streptophyta, Magnoliopsida, Malvales, Malvaceae.
GACGGUUGAUUGGAGAUGAUGUGUAGAGACUGGAUAGGUAACCUUCAUGUUUAGGUGUUGGACUCGGCGUAUCGGAGGUCUCAGAAUUUUUUAUUCAAUUCGGUUUGGUUUUUAAUAAAUUUUUCGUAAACUUUGAUAAAUUGUUUUCAUACAGACUUUAAAUAAAUUUUAUGGGCUGUGGUAUAAGUUUCAUUCGGACUUGUAAGUUGAUGUUUGGUGUGAAUUAAACUUGGACUUUGAAAGAUAUGGGUUUUCGUAUUGGAACUAAACGGGUGUUUCCAUGCAUGAUUAUUAUAAAAAUAGAAACAUGGAUUUUUGAGACUGUGAUGAUUUAAUAAACGAUCAAUAUAUGAAAGUAUUAUUUUUAUGAA